ACACCUACGGGGGGCAGCAGUGGGGAAUAUUGCACAAUGGGCGCAAGCCUGAUGCAGCAACGCCGUGUGAGUGAAGAAGGUUUUCGGAUAGUAAAACUCUGUCCUAAGGGAAGAAUAAAAUGACGGUACCUUAGGAGGAAGCCCCGGCUAACUACGUGCCAGCAGCCGCGGUAA
RNAcentral lists this ribosomal RNA (174 nucleotides) under uncultured Fusibacter sp. RNAcentral describes it as "partial 16S ribosomal RNA". It matches the Rfam family "Bacterial small subunit ribosomal RNA", at positions 335 to 523 of the family's 1533-position model. The record is from RNAcentral. Lineage: Bacteria; Bacillati; Bacillota; Clostridia; Eubacteriales; Fusibacteraceae.